RNAcentral lists this ribosomal RNA (480 nucleotides) under Klebsiella pneumoniae. Its description in RNAcentral is "bacterial LSU rRNA". It matches the Rfam family "Bacterial large subunit ribosomal RNA", at positions 568 to 1049 of the family's 2925-position model. Lineage: Bacteria; Pseudomonadati; Pseudomonadota; Gammaproteobacteria; Enterobacterales; Enterobacteriaceae. The record is from RNAcentral.
AAGCAGUGGGAGCACCUUCGGGUGUGACUGCGUACCUUUUGUAUAAUGGGUCAGCGACUUAUAUUCUGUAGCAAGGUUAACCGUAUAGGGGAGCCGCAGGGAAACCGAGUCUUAACUGGGCGUUAAGUUGCAGGGUAUAGACCCGAAACCCGGUGAUCUAGCCAUGGGCAGGUUGAAGGUUGGGUAACACUAACUGGAGGACCGAACCGACUAAUGUUGAAAAAUUAGCGGAUGACUUGUGGCUGGGGGUGAAAGGCCAAUCAAACCGGGAGAUAGCUGGUUCUCCCCGAAAGCUAUUUAGGUAGCGCCUCGUGAAUUUCAUCUUCGGGGGGUAGAGCACUGUUUCGGCUAGGGGGUCAUCCCGACUUACCAACCGAUGCAAACUACGAAUACCGAAGAAUGUUAUCACGGGAGACACACGGCGGGUGCUAACGUCCGUCGUGAAGAGGGAAACAACCCAGACCGCCAGCUAAGGUCCCA